GUUUGAUCCUGGCUCAGGAUGAACGCUGGCGGCGUGCUUAACACAUGCAAGUCGAACGAACCUUCGGGUUAGUGGCGGACGGGUGAGUAACGCGUGGGAAUCUGCCCUCAGGAGGGGGAUAACGGCUGGAAACGGCCGCUAAUACCCCAUAUGCCGAGAGGUGAAAAGAAAUUCGCCUGAGGAUGAGCCCGCGUCUGAUUAGCUAGUUGGUGGGGUAAGAGCUCACCAAGGCGACGAUCAGUAGCUGGUCUGAGAGGAUGAUCAGCCACACUGGGACUGAGACACGGCCCAGACUCCUACGGGAGGCAGCAGUGGGGAAUUUUCCGCAAUGGGCGAAAGCCUGACGGAGCAACGCCGCGUGAGGGAUGAAGGCCUCUGGGCUGUAAACCUCUUUUCUCAAGGAAGAAGACAUGACGGUACUUGAGGAAUAAGCCACGGCUAAUUCCGUGCCAGCAGCCGCGGUAAUACGGGAGUGGCAAGCGUUAUCCGGAAUUAUUGGGCGUAAAGCGUCCGCAGGCGGCCCUGUAAGUCUGUCGUUAAAGCGUGGAGCUUAACUCCAUUUAAGCGAUGGAAACUACAGGGCUUGAGUGUGGUAGGGGCAGAGGGAAUUCCCGGUGUAGCGGUGAAAUGCGUAGAUAUCGGGAAGAACACCAGUGGCGAAGGCGCUCUGCUGGGCCAUAACUGACGCUCAUGGACGAAAGCCAGGGGAGCGAAAGGGAUUAGAUACCCCUGUAGUCCUGGCCGUAAACGAUGAACACUAGGUGUCGGGGGAAUCGACCCCCUCGGUGUCGUAGCCAACGCGUUAAGUGUUCCGCCUGGGGAGUACGCACGCAAGUGUGAAACUCAAGGAAUUGACGGGGGCCCGCACAAGCGGUGGAGUAUGUGGUUUAAUUCGAUGCAACGCGAAGAACCUUACCAGGGUUUGACAUCCUGCGAAUCCCUUGGAAACGAGGGAGUGCCUUCGGGAGCGCAGAGACAGGUGGUGCAUGGCUGUCGUCAGCCCGUGUCGUGAGAUGUUGGGUUAAGUCCCGCAACGAGCGCAACCCACGUCUUUAGUUGCCAGCAUUCAGUUGGGCACUCUAGAGAGACCGCCGGUGACAAACCGGAGGAAGGUGUGGAUGACGUCAAGUCAUCAUGCCCCUUACAUCCUGGGCUACACACGUACUACAAUGCUACGGACAAAGGGCAGCAAGCUCGCGAGAGUUAGCAAAUCCCAUAAACCGUGGCUCAGUUCAGAUCGUAGGCUGCAACUCGCCUACGUGAAGGAGGAAUCGCUAGUAAUCGCAGGUCAGCAUACUGCGGUGAAUACGUUCCCGGGCCUUGUACACACCGCCCGUCACACCAUGGAAGUUGGCCAUGCCCGAAGUCGUUACUCCAACCCG
Molecule: ribosomal RNA, 1382 nt
Filed under: metagenome
Description: bacterial SSU rRNA
Rfam family: Bacterial small subunit ribosomal RNA
Source: RNAcentral